RNAcentral lists this ribosomal RNA (253 nucleotides) under uncultured bacterium. RNAcentral's name for it is "partial 16S ribosomal RNA". It matches the Rfam family "Bacterial small subunit ribosomal RNA", at positions 524 to 776 of the family's 1533-position model. The record is from RNAcentral.
GACAGAGGGUGCAAACGUUGUUCGGAAUUACUGGGCGUAAAGCGCGUGUAGGCUGCCCUGCAAGUCGGAUGUGAAAGCCCUGGGCUCAACCUAGGAAGUGCACUCGAAACUGCAGGGCUGGAGUCCUGGAGAGGAAGGCGGAAUUCUCGGUGUAGAGGUGAAAUUCGUAGAUAUCGAGAGGAACACCGGUGGCGAAGGCGGCCUUCUGGACAGUGACUGACGCUGAGGCGCGAAAGCGUGGGGAGCAAACAGG